RNAcentral lists this ribosomal RNA (500 nucleotides) under uncultured bacterium. Its description in RNAcentral is "partial 16S ribosomal RNA". It matches the Rfam family "Bacterial small subunit ribosomal RNA", at positions 899 to 1397 of the family's 1533-position model. The record is from RNAcentral.
ACUCAAAGGAAUAGACGGGGGCCCGCACAAGCGGUGGAGCAUGUGGUUCAAUUCGACGCAACGCGAAGAACCUUACCUGGGCUCGAAAUGUAGUGGACCGGGGUGGAAACAUCCCUUUCCCGCAAGGGACUGCUAUAUAGGUGCUGCAUGGCUGUCGUCAGCUCGUGUCGUGAGAUGUUGGGUUAAGUCCCGCAACGAGCGCAACCCUUAUCGUUAGUUGCCAGCGAGUCAAGUCGGGCACUCUAGCGAAACCGCGCGGGAUAACCGCGAGGAAGGUGGGGAUGACGUCAAGUCCUCAUGGCCUUUAUGUCCAGGGCUACACACGUGCUACAAUGGUCGGUACAAACCGUCGCAAACCUGCGAAGGGGAGCUAAUCGGAAAAAGCCGGCCUCAGUUCGGAUUGGAGUCUGCAACUCGACUCCAUGAAGCUGGAAUCGCUAGUAAUCGCAGAUCAGAACGCUGCGGUGAAUACGUUCCCGGGCCUUGCACACACCGCCCGU